GGGCUUGACUCUAUUUUGACAUUGUGAAGAGUCAUGAGAGGUGUAGCAUAGGUGGGAGACUUCGGUCGCCAGUGAAAUACCACCACUUUCAUCGACUCUUUACUUAUUCGGUUAAAAGAGAAUUGGCCUCACGGCCUUUUUUCGAAGCUUUAAGCGGAGCCAUUUUAUGGCACCGUGACUCUCCUCGAAGACAGUGUCAAGCGGGGAGUUUGACUGGGGCGGUACAUCUAUCAAAUCGUAACGUAGGUGUCCUAAGGCGAGCUCAGAGAGGACGGAAACCUCUCGUACAGCAAAAGGGCAAAAGCUUGCUUGAUCUUGACUUUCAGUACGAGUACAGACCGCGAAAGCGUGGCCUAUCGAUCCUUUUAAUCCUGAUUGUUUCAAGUAAGAGGUGUCAGAAAAGUUACC
RNAcentral lists this non-coding RNA (408 nucleotides) under Caenorhabditis brenneri. Its description in RNAcentral is "Eukaryotic large subunit ribosomal RNA". It matches the Rfam family "Eukaryotic large subunit ribosomal RNA", at positions 2418 to 2819 of the family's 3401-position model. Lineage: Eukaryota; Metazoa; Nematoda; Chromadorea; Rhabditida; Rhabditidae. The record is from Rfam by way of RNAcentral.